GGUCCCGUAGUGGAGCGUUUUAACACGCCUGCCUGUCACGCAGGAGAUCGCGGGUUCGAUUCCCGUCGGGACCGCCA
RNAcentral lists this transfer RNA (77 nucleotides) under Staphylococcus pseudintermedius. RNAcentral describes it as "tRNA-Asp". It matches the Rfam family "tRNA". Rfam says of the family: Transfer RNA (tRNA) molecules are approximately 80 nucleotides in length. Their secondary structure includes four short double-helical elements and three loops (D, anti-codon, and T loops). The record is from RNAcentral. Lineage: Bacteria; Bacillati; Bacillota; Bacilli; Caryophanales; Staphylococcaceae.